Molecule: RNA transcript, 2818 nt
Organism: Ochotona curzoniae (black-lipped pika)
Lineage: Eukaryota; Metazoa; Chordata; Mammalia; Lagomorpha; Ochotonidae
Gene: TADA2A
Gene name: transcriptional adaptor 2A
Exons: 17
Source: RefSeq, a predicted model, not a curated record
CGCGUGCGCGCGUUCGCUCGCUCCGCUGCCGGAUUCUCGGCGUGGAGGCGGGAGACGAGGAGAGGGACUCAUCAAGCUGUGGUGUUUGUGUUGGCCAGUUCUGAGAUCUUGAAGCUCUGCCCAGAGGAGGAAUACAGCAGCCGUCUCUGCCAAUGGACCGUUUGGGUUCCUUUAGCAAUGAUCCCUCUGAUAAGCCACCUUGUCGAGGCUGCUCCUCCUAUCUGAUGGAACCUUACAUCAAGUGUGCUGAAUGUGGGCCACCUCCUUUUUUCCUCUGCUUGCAGUGUUUCACUCGAGGAUUUGAAUACAAGAAACACCAAAGUGAUCAUACUUAUGAAAUAAUGACUUCAGACUUUCCUGUUCUUGAUCCCAGCUGGACUGCUCAAGAAGAAAUGGCCCUUUUAGAAGCUGUGAUGGACUGUGGCUUUGGAAAUUGGCAGGAUGUUGCCAAUCAGAUGUGCACCAAGACCAAGGAAGAGUGUGAGAAGCACUAUAUGAAGCAUUUCAUCAAUAACCCUCUGUUUGCAUCUACCCUGCUAAACUUGAAACAGGCAGAAGAGGCAAAAACUGCAGACACAGCCAUUCCGUUUCAUUCUGCAGACGACCCUCCUCGGCCCACCUUUGACUCGUUGCUUUCUCGGGACAUGGCAGGAUACAUGCCAGCGCGAGCAGAUUUCAUUGAGGAAUUCGACAAUUAUGCAGAAUGGGACUUGAGAGACAUUGAUUUUGUUGAAGAUGACUCGGACAUUUUACAUGCACUGAAGAUGGCUGUGGUAGAUAUCUAUCAUUCCAGAUUAAAGGAGAGACAAAGACGAAAAAAAAUUAUACGAGAUCAUGGAUUAAUCAACCUCAGGAAGUUUCAGUUGAUGGAACGGCGGUACCCCAAGGAGGUUCAAGACCUUUAUGAAACAAUGAGGCGAUUUGCAAGGAUUGUGGGACCAGUAGAACAUGACAAGUUCAUUGAAAGUCAUGCACUGGAAUUUGAGCUUCGAAGGGAAAUCAAGAGACUCCAGGAAUAUAGGACAGCAGGCAUCACCAAUUUUUGUAGUGCCAGAACCUAUGAUCACUUGAAGAAGACGAGAGAGGAGGAGCGCCUUAAACGCACGAUGCUCUCUGAGGUUCUCCAGUACAUCCAGGACAGCGGGGCGUGCCAGCAGUGGCUCCGCCGGCAGGCUGACAUUGAUUCUGGCCUGAGUCCGUCUGUUCCGAUGGCUUCAAAUUCAGGUAGACGGAGUGCACCACCGUUGAACCUCACUGGCCUCCCUGGCACAGAGAAGCUAAAUGAAAAAGAAAAAGAGCUCUGUCAGAUGGUGAGGUUGGUCCCUGGAGCCUAUUUAGAGUACAAAUCUGCACUCUUGAAUGAAUGUAACAAGCAAGGAGGCUUAAGGCUGGCCCAGGCAAGAGCACUCAUCAAGAUAGACGUGAACAAAACCCGGAAAAUCUAUGAUUUCCUCAUCCGAGAAGGACACAUCACUAAAGCCUGAGGCUCUGAUGGGCUGGGGUCAGAAAUCACACAUUUGGAAUGUGGUUCACAAGACGGUGCGGGCCCCGAGUUCUCCAUGUGAAAAGCGGCGGAGGGACAAGGAACCCUGAAGACAUGUUAAUACCCACUACCUUCUCCACCCCGCUUUGAAACACUCCUGAUGUCGGUGUUGUGCUGCAUAUGCUAUUAUUAAAUAUGCAGAUGAUGCAACUAAUCUCGGCUUUGCUUGGACUGAGGUUGGACCCUGGCUUCUCAAGGGUGGAAAGCCGGCCUGCAAUAAAAGCUGUUUUAAAACAAGCGUAAAGCAGCUUCGUAUGCGAGGCUCAUUAGAUACAAGGGUGAGUAGUCCCACCACAUCUGAAAUUUGAUCCUCAAGCCUUUCUGCAGAAGCAGCAGCCAAACUCAGAGUCAUGGUUAUCUCAUUUCCAUCAGAAGCAGAGUUGUGUAUAGAAUCUGCGCCACUUGUGCCCGAUAGCUGUUCCUCCAACAGGGAGACAUCUAUUAAAACAGUGUGUACUUUGUGGAAAGCACCUGCUCACAUGUUUCCUGAGGUAAAUGAUUGUGCAGCUGGCUAAUAGACCUCAUCUUGAGGAAGAGAAAAAGGACACUCUUAGGAUCUGAGGGAAUUCAGAUGGGGGACUUCGAGUUUAACUAUGGCUUGUGGAAAUAGGCUCUUUUCUUUCCAUAGUCAUCUCUCUUAAGAUAUUCCACCACUGCUGUCAACCUAUUUGGCUAUGAAGGGAUUACCCGUUUUUGAUGGAAGGUGAUUCCUAUUCUGAUAAUUUUCAUUGCAUUAGAUGUCAGUGUCAUGCGAUGUCUGUUGUAGAUUGAGGAGUCCUUCAAUAAGGAGGGCUUUUUUGGAGAGGUGGGCUUUUGAGGCAGUAAAAAAAAAUGAGGGGGAGAAACAAAUGGCAGAUGGAAUGGGAGACUGUUCCAGACAUAGGGGGUGGGAGACAAGUGGAGGCAGGAAUGGGAGUAAGGAAAUUGUGCCAAGAGGUUGAUUUGGCUGGAACACACAGGGGGCAGCUGUGGUAGCUGAAUGGGAGGACUGUCUAAUGGAAACCUUGCACUUGAAAAAGUUGCGGGGAAUCAUUUGAUAAUGAAAAUGACAUAGUAGAAGGUAGUAAGAAAAUAACUUACUGACUUAUUCCAAAUGACUAGAUUUCAAACAGUAGGAAUUCAACUUUGUAAAAAUGUAAAAACUUAAUUGGUUUCCCCAAAACCAAGCUGUAUUUUGGAUAAAGAACAUUGUUCAGUGUCACUGAUCUUACAGCGAUAGACUUGGUGCACAGAGCUGAUAAUAACACGUGUGGACUCUGAUGGUCAAAAGUCAAA